Molecule: non-coding RNA, 120 nt
Organism: Brugia malayi
Lineage: Eukaryota; Metazoa; Nematoda; Chromadorea; Rhabditida; Onchocercidae
Source: RefSeq, a predicted model, not a curated record
AGGGAGAGGGAGAGGGAGCGAUAGCUGGAGAAAGAAAAAUAAAAAAAAGCUAAAAGAAACAAAUUUUGUCAGUAUAAAAAGAUUGGUAAUAUUUUCAUGUUUCAACUAACUAAUUUUUCA